This 253-nucleotide long non-coding RNA is filed under the name Homo sapiens (human). RNAcentral describes it as "non-protein coding lnc-DNMT3A-4:1". Lineage: Eukaryota; Metazoa; Chordata; Mammalia; Primates; Hominidae. The record is from RNAcentral.
CAGUGUCAGGACCUCACCACGGAAAGCAACCUGCUGAGUGCAUCCGGGCCUGCAAGCCCGACCUCUCGGCCGAGACUCCCAUGUUCCCGGGAAAUGGCGACGAGCAGCCUCUGACCGAGAACCCCCGGAAGUACGUCAUGGGCCACUUCCGCUGGGACCGAUUCGGCCGCCGCAACAGCAGCAGCAGCGGCAGCAGCGGCGCAGGGCAGAAGCGCGAGGACGUCUCAGCGGGCGAAGACUGCGGCCCGCUGCC